UAUAAAAUGAGCUGCUCGUAUUGCGUAGAUAAUCCUUUCUACUACAGUUUUUUAGAAAGAUAUAACGUUAGCAAUGGACAACUGAAAAUAUGUUGCUACUGCUCUCAAUAACAUCGAUGCCCUGAAUUUAUCAGGCGCUAUCCACAAAGAACAUGUUUUGAAAUCAGUGGAACACAACUGGCCAAACAAGUUGUGCAAACUAAACCGAAACAACACAGGAUGUCUGAUAAAAGGGUUGCAGUCUGCCGUGAAGCUUUCAUCCAUGUAUACAGAGUUGGGAAAACGCGUGUGGACCUGAAUUGUGAUAACUGCAGUGGCC
This 319-nucleotide long non-coding RNA is filed under the name Salmo salar (Atlantic salmon). RNAcentral's name for it is "lncRNA (ENSSSAG00000115436.1)". The record is from RNAcentral. Lineage: Eukaryota; Metazoa; Chordata; Actinopteri; Salmoniformes; Salmonidae.